UAACGCGUGAGUAACCUGCCUUGGAGUGGGGAAGUAACACAUCGAAAGAUGUGCUAAUACCGCAUAAUGCAGUUGGGCCGCAUGGCUCUGACUGCCAAAGAUUUAUCGCUCUGAGAUGGACUCGCGUCUGAUUAGCUGGUUGGCGGGGUAACGGCCCACCAAGGCGACGAUCGGUAGCCGGACUGAGAGGUUGACCGGCCACAUUGGGACUGAGACACGGCCCAGACUCCUACGGAAGGCAGCAG
This 245-nucleotide ribosomal RNA is filed under the name uncultured bacterium. Its description in RNAcentral is "partial 16S ribosomal RNA". It matches the Rfam family "Bacterial small subunit ribosomal RNA", at positions 111 to 354 of the family's 1533-position model. The record is from RNAcentral.